Molecule: long non-coding RNA, 3481 nt
Organism: Ostrinia nubilalis (European corn borer)
Lineage: Eukaryota; Metazoa; Arthropoda; Insecta; Lepidoptera; Crambidae
Exons: 2
Source: RefSeq, a predicted model, not a curated record
GGAACCAAUGUCCGACAUUAAAAAAGUUUUCAAAAUAAAAUAAGAAUAUUUUCUGACUUCUGAACGCAUUCGAACCAUAAACUAUAGACCAGGGUUAUCUAGCUGUCAUUGCGGAUGACGUUUCAUACAUUCGGCCAUUUUGUACAAAAUGGCGUAAUGAUAUGUUUCGUCCGCGGUAGAUCUCGAAAGAAAUCCAGUUUUAUUAGUGAAAUCGCUAAGGAGGUAGCAGGCAUGGCGCCUAAAAAAAAUUACACGCCUCUUCAAAUGGCCCAGGCGGUAGAAGCAGUCAGAAAAGGUGAGAAAACUGCAACUGCUGCAAAGAAGUUUGGUGUACCCAGAAUUACAUUACAUGAUAAGAUUUCCGGUAAGACUCCAGUUGAAUGUUCCAUGGGCCCUAAAACAUAUUUGUCAACGGAAGAGGAGGCUAUUUUAGAAAAAUGGGUACUUGAAAUGGCUGAAAAACACAUUCCCGUUACUAGAGAUGAGCUCCUCGAUAGCGUACAACGUAUCAUAAUUGAUCAGGAUAAAACAACCCCAUUUACUGACAAUAGACCGGGAAAGAAAUGGUACAACCUUUUUCUAAACAGACAUCCUAUAUUGUCUGAAAGAACGGCACAAAAUUUAACGACAGCUCGAGAUGCUGUUACAGAAGAGCAUUUAAGGCGGUGGUUUGAAGAAGUUGAAUCUUAUCUACGCCAAAAUGAUCUCAAAGAUGUAUUAGAACAGCCGGCAAGAAUAUUCAACACAGACGAAAGUGCCUUUUUUUUGUCGCCUAAGGCUGGUAAAGUUCUUGCAAAAAAAGGUGACAAACAUAUCUACCAAUCCUCCGGAGACGAAAAAGAUAAUUUGACAGUACUAAUUACUGGAAAUGCCGCUGGACAAUUGGCACCACCCAUGGUAGUAUUUGCAUAUGAGAGAAUCCCGGCCAUAAUUUCAUCCCAGUUUCCUGAAGAUUGGGCAAUUGGACGUUCACAGAGUGGCUGGAUGUGUGGCAGCACGUUUUAUGAAUACAUAGUGAACGUUUUUGAUCCAUGGUUAUUACAGCAAAAUAUCCAAAAACCCGUAGUGUUCUUUUUGGACGGUCAUCGAUCGCAUAUGACCCUGCAUUUGUCGAUGUUUUGUGCUCAAAAUGGCAUAGAAAUCAUAGCAUUACACCCAAACAGUACGCACAUUUUACAGCCAAUGGAUUUGGCUAUAUUCAGACCACUGAAAUCAUUCUGGAAAAAAGCAGUAAAAGACUGGAAACUACAAAACUUAGGACACAAUUUAACAAAAGAUAAAUUUGCCCCUGUCCUUAAAACAGCGUUGCAAUCGCUCACUGAUGAUUCCAUUAAGAAUGGUUUUCGCGCUGGCGGUUUGUAUCCUUUUGGCCCAGACUACAUCGAUCUAACUAAAAUAAAAUCUCGACAAAACCCGCAAGUUGCAACAGAACAGGCACUCUUUGUUAAUUUCUUGGAAAAGGAAAUAGUGGCAAAAUUGGGGACAGAAAAGUUGCAGUUUUUCAAUGAACUCUUUUAUAAAGGUCGAGAUGAAUUAAAUUCUCGGUUAAAUGAGGAAGACACGUCACUGUAUAUAAUAUGGGCUAGCAAUAAACAGAGAGUUCAACGUACAGCUCACGUUGUUGAACGAUCAGUACAAGCUGAAAUUAACUUGAUUCAAGAAGAUGUUUCCAAUCUAGUGGAAAAUUGUGACAACAAUGGUGCAAAUUCAGGCCCUUUAAAUGAAACCAGAACGUCUAAUAAUUCUACAUCGAAUAUACUGACAAACCUAACUAGUGGACAAGAAUCAAAAGAAACAACAAAUAACACCUCAAUUAUUGAUAAGCCGAGUUGUUCUAACAUAACAGAUUCAGUUACAAUACCUUCGACAUUUUGCUCUUCAACUUCAGCUGCGGCAGAAUCCACAACUGUAAAAGAGACGACCAGACCAGAACCAAAAGAAAACUUUAAUGACGUGUUAAUUGUUAAUGAGCAAAGUUCUUCCAACCAAUUAGUAAAUCCACUUCAGACUGCUGCCAAUGCCUGCACUUCAACAUUUACCCUCAAUGAGAAUUCUGUAGUAAAAAUAAUAUCUUCAAAAGAGACGAUCACACUUGAAUCCAAAGAAAAGACUAAUGAAGCUUUGAUAAUUAAUCAGCCAAGUUCAUCGAAGCAAGCAAGAGGCUUACUUCAGAUAUCUUCAACUUCUUCAUUGUGUGUUCUUCAAAGUGCUGCAGAAAAAACACCUUUAAAAGAGAUGAUGAGCAUUAAUACAUCAAAAACUGUUGCAAAUAAAGUGGGAAAUACAUAUAUUCCAUCGCCAUUUAAACGAAAUUUAUUUUGGCCCGGAGAAGAUGAAGAUAAAAAAGGAAAAAAAAGAAGAUUAAGAGAAAAAAUUCCUUUUGCCAUCACAAGUAAAACGUGGAGGGAUUAUCAUGAAGUGAAAGAGAACCAAAAAAGAGAAGCAGCAAAACUAAAAGAAAUUAAAGCCCAAGAAAGAGUAGAGAAAAGACAGUUAAAACAGAGAGAAAUGGAAAACAAAAAGCAAAAUAGAAUAAAAGAUAAAGAACAUAAGAAGAAAAAACGAAAUACAACACCAAAACCGAAACCAAAUGAUACAUCGUCGGACAAUACAGACACCGAGGUAAACUAUGCAGAAAGUGAAGAUAGCUACAACAUGGAAAUCGAACAAGAACUAACAGACGAAGAAAUACCAUUGAGCAAAUAUUCUAAGCCAGCAAAAACAUAUUCUAGUGGAGAUUAUGUUAUAAUCCAAUACGAAGGAGAAUUUUUCCCAGGCGAAAUUAAAAAUGUUAAUAAUAACAAAUUUGAAAUUAGCACCAUGACCUUUUCUGUGGGUAACACGUUCAAAUGGCCGGAAAAAGAAGAUAAAAUCUGGUACCAAAAGUCUGACAUAGUCAAAGCAAUUUCAAAACCAACGCUAUGCAAUAAAAGAGGUUUUUAUACGAUACCAGAAAUGAAAGAAUAUCUGCCUUUCACAAUGUAAGGUAUUAAGUAUUUAAUUUAAUGUUCUUCAGAAAACAUUUAACUUUCUUUGUUUUAUAGAUUUUUAAGCCAAACAACUAUUAAUUAAGUGGUAGACUAAAACGAGUCUGUGAUCAAAACCUGCCAUAAAUUUAUUAUUAAAUAAUAAAUAGGUACCUACUUAAUAAUAUUGUAAUUCCAAGUGGAAAAAUCAUAAGAAGUAUGUUAAUUUUAUAUGCCACUGAGAAGAUCUCAUUAAGUUUUGUUGAUUAGUAUUAAGCAAGUAGAUGAAACUUAGUAUUAGUAACCUACUUAUGUAACAAAAAUGUGAUUAAAAGUAGUUGACAUAAUAAACAAGAAAAAACUAUUUUAUAAUAUGUAUAGAUGAUUAAAAAAAUUAAAACAUUAACACCAUACCGUUAAAAUUAUUAGUUACUUAAGUACUACAAUUACCAAAGCAUUACAUGCCAAAAUGUCCUUGUUUUUAUUUAGCGAAAAUAAAAUGAUUAAAAGACUGA